RNAcentral lists this ribosomal RNA (393 nucleotides) under uncultured bacterium. RNAcentral's name for it is "partial 16S ribosomal RNA". It matches the Rfam family "Bacterial small subunit ribosomal RNA", at positions 523 to 918 of the family's 1533-position model. The record is from RNAcentral.
AUACGGAGGAUCCGAGCGUUAUCCGGAUUUAUUGGGUUUAAAGGGUGCGCAGGCGGGAGAUUAAGUCGGCGGUGAAAUUUUGCAGCUCAACUGUAAAAGUGCCUUCGAAACUGGUUUCCUUGAGUGUAGAUGAAGUAGGCGGAAUUUGUGGUGUAGCGGUGAAAUGCAUAGAUAUCACGAGGAACUCCGAUUGCGCAGGCAGCUUACUAAACCACUACUGACGCUGAGGCACGAAGGCGUGGGGAUCGAACAGGAUUAGAUACCCUGGUAGUCCACGCAGUAAACGAUGAUUACUGGCUGUUUGCGAUACAAUGUAAGCGGCUGAGCGAAAGCGUUAAGUAAUCCACCUGGGGAGUACGUUCGCAAGAAUGAAACUCAAAUGAAUUGACGGGG